GUCCACGCCCUAAACGAUGUCAACUGGUUGUUGGGUCUUAACUGACUCAGUAACGAAGCUAACGCGUGAAGUUGACCGCCUGGGGAGUACGGCCGCAAGGUUAAAACUCAAAUGAAUUGACGGGGCCCGCACAAGCGGUGGAGCAUGUGGUUUAAUUCGAAGCAACGCGAAGAACCUUACCUACCCUUGACAUGCCAGGAACUUUCCAGAGAUGGAUUGGUGCCCGAAAGGGAGCCUGGACACAGGUGCUGCAUGGCUGUCGU
This 263-nucleotide ribosomal RNA is filed under the name uncultured bacterium. RNAcentral's name for it is "partial 16S ribosomal RNA". It matches the Rfam family "Bacterial small subunit ribosomal RNA", at positions 793 to 1055 of the family's 1533-position model. The record is from RNAcentral.